GAGUUUGAUCUUGGCUCAGAGCGAACGCUGGCGGCAGGCUUAACACAUGCAAGUCGAGCGGCCGUAGCAAUACGGCAGCGGCAGACGGGAGAGUAACACGUGGGAACGUGCCCAUCAGUUCGGAACAACCCAGGGAAACUUGGGCUAAUACCGGAUACGCCCUUACGGGGAAAGAUUUAUCGCUGAUGGAGCGGCCCGCGUCUGAUUAGCUAGUUGGUGAGGUAAUGGCUCACCAAGGCGACGAUCAGUAGCUGGUCUGAGAGGAUGAUCAGCCUCACUGGGACUGGGACACGGCCCAGACUCCUACGGGAGGCAGCAGUGGGGAAUAUUGGACAAUGGGCGCAAGCCUGAUCCAGCCAUGCCGCGUGGAUGAUGAAGGCCCUAGGGUUGUAAAGUCCUUUCGGCGGGGAAGAUAAUGACGGUACCCGCAGAAGAAGCCCCGGCUAACUUCGUGCCAGCCGCCGCGGUAAG
RNAcentral lists this ribosomal RNA (471 nucleotides) under uncultured Alphaproteobacteria bacterium. RNAcentral's name for it is "bacterial SSU rRNA". It matches the Rfam family "Bacterial small subunit ribosomal RNA", at positions 9 to 524 of the family's 1533-position model. Lineage: Bacteria; Pseudomonadati; Pseudomonadota; Alphaproteobacteria. The record is from RNAcentral.